Molecule: ribosomal RNA, 552 nt
Filed under: uncultured archaeon
Lineage: Archaea
Description: bacterial SSU rRNA
Rfam family: Archaeal small subunit ribosomal RNA
Source: RNAcentral
GACAAGGUUCCAGGCCCUACGGGGUGCAGCAGGCGCGAAACCUCCGCAAUGUGAGAAAUCGCGACGGGGGGAUCCCAAGUGCCAUUCUUAACGGGAUGGCUUUUCAUUAGUGUAAAGAGCUUUUGGAAUAAGAGCUGGGCAAGACCGGUGCCAGCCGCCGCGGUAACACCGGCAGCUCUAGUGGUAGCAAUUUUUAUUGGGCCUAAAGCGUCCGUAGCCGGUUUAAUAAGUCUCUGGUGAAAUCCUGCAGCUUAACUGUGGGAAUUGCUGGAGAUACUAUUAGACUUGAGACCGGGAGAGGUUAGAGGUACUCCCAGGGUAGAGGUGAAAUUCUGUAAUCCUGGGAGGACCGCCUGUUGCGAAGGCGUCUAACUGGAACGGUUCUGACGGUGAGGGACGAAAGUUAGGGGCGCGAACCGGAUUAGAUACCCGGGUAGUCCUAACUGUAAACGAUGCGGACUUGGUGUUGGGGUGGCUUUGAGCUGCUUCAGUGCCGAAGGGAAGCUGUUAAGUCCGCCGCCUGGGAAGUACGGUCGCAAGACUGAAACUUAA